This 232-nucleotide long non-coding RNA is filed under the name Olea europaea (common olive). RNAcentral describes it as "long non-coding RNA (OEUR_LNC005800)". The record is from RNAcentral. Lineage: Eukaryota; Viridiplantae; Streptophyta; Magnoliopsida; Lamiales; Oleaceae.
AAAAAAUAAGGUUGAAUUAUGCUGCAAGAUCCACUCCCAAAUUUGUACGCUGCCUCAUGCACUGAACUUGGUGACAAUGGAAAUGUAGAUGAUAUUUUUUUGUCAGCAAACUCGAACAGGUUCAGUUGAGAGUUACUGAAAAGUGUAUUAUUAUUGAAAGUAACAUUGUAGAUGAAAAGAUCGUCUUUUUAGUUAUUUUCAGAAGUUCUAUUUAACAUAACAUGGAAUUAAU